Molecule: long non-coding RNA, 2803 nt
Organism: Acinonyx jubatus (cheetah)
Lineage: Eukaryota; Metazoa; Chordata; Mammalia; Carnivora; Felidae
Exons: 7
Source: RefSeq, a predicted model, not a curated record
AGCUCCUUGCAGCUCCCCUCUGCCUGCUGGAUGGGACGCUCCCCGAUUCAGGAAUUGCUUAAUAAAGCCAAUUACAUCUUCACAUUUACUCGUAAUCUCUUUGCCCAGUGUGGGGCUUGAACUCUCAACCCCAAGAUCAAGAGUACCAUGCUGUACUGACUGAGCCAGCCAGGCACCCCCGGCCAUAUGAAGGUUUACAGGAACUGCCACCCCUACUUGAGGCUGCUCAGGCUAGCCUGCUGGGGACACGUGACCCAUCCACUAGCAAGUGCCAACUGCCGUCUUAGACCAGCCAGCCGCGUUCAAGUCACUAGAUGACCACAGCCACGUGAGUGACCCCAAACAAAUGCAGCAGAGGAACCGCCCGACUGAUCCCGACCCAACUGGUGACCCACACAAUCCAAGGGUGCGGGGCCCGCCUUUCUUUGAUGUUGCGCUGAGACGCUUGUGCCGGCACCACGGGAGGCUUGGAUGCUCCCCCGGCACUUCUGACGUUCUGACGUCUGGACUUGGACUCUUCCGAAGCGGCAAAUUGGAACCAUAACGAAACUCUGAAGCCACUCAGAGUGAAGCCAUCUGGAUGGAGAGUAUGCCCUGGGGAUUUCCAGUCCUGAGGUCUUCCUAGGUGCUCGGUGCCAAUUCAGGGUCCCACAGAAUGUCUUCUCCCUCCAUUUCUGGAGAUCCUGAGCUGCAUACGGAUGGGGCUGGGUGGGUGGAGAGACCCCUGGAUACCUGUUUAAAAACUUAAAAGGAGGAGCGUGAGAGCGAGAGUGGGGCUUGACUCACCACGCGAGGUUGGCCGGCCUUGACUUCGCUCGUCUCCUGUUAACGGCUCAUGGUCAAAAUAGUGGCAGGGCACGGUUACAGAAAAGCUCCCUCUUUGUCUGCUCAGACUCCAUAGAAAUCCUUGGUGUCGUGAAAGAUUAAAGCCAAUCCGCCGGUCCUCCAGGGGUUGAGAAUGGAACGCACUAUGGUCCUUGGUCUUCCGCGUGUCAAGCGUGGUUCUGGCAGGUGAAAGGAGCUGUGUCAGGUACGGCAAAGCUGCGGUGACUGCAGACAGACAUGUGCAGAAAGAGGACGGAAGGGAAGCAAGGGUGACCAGUAUGUUCCCUUUGAACGCCACAAAGGAUCGCAUUAUAAGCUUGCAGAGGCGCUGGAUCGCUGUCUAGUCUGCAUUUACUGAAAUGUGAAACUUCCACGAGAAGAGGAGGAAAAAUCCCCCCGCUGUCUGAUAUUCUGCCUUGGAAUGCUGUUAAGAACUACGUCUUUUUUUUGUUGUUCUUUCCUCCCUUCGUGCUUUCUACCUUUCUGAAAAUGAACAACCACCGUUAUGACCUGUUGUCUUUUUAUAUCGUGUUAAGUAUUUACAUUUUUAUGUAUUUGCAACCAUGAAUGAGAUACAUAUAAAAAAGGUGCAUGCCAUAGGUGCUGAAAAGAAGUCUAGGCAGUUAUUUAUAGCAAAGAGAUUUUGAAAAAUGAACCUUUUUUUUUGUAUCACAAACCUUCCCCUUGACUAUUAGAGCAAGUGUGAAAACCAGUGGGUUUAUUUUAUUUUAUUAUUUUUUUAAAGUUCAUUUCUUUAUUUUGAGAAAGAGGGAGUGAGGGAGGGGCAGAGAGCGAGGUAUUGAGAAUCCCAAGCAGGGAUCCCAAGGCUGGGCUCGACUCAGGGCUCGACUCAGGGCUCGAACUCACAAACUGUAAGGUCAUGACCGGAGGCGAAAUCAAGAGUCAGAUGCUUAAUGGACCGAGCCACCGAGGCACCCCAUCUGUGGGUUCCUUUUAAAAGUUCACUUAUGGGAGCCUGGGUGGCUCAGUCUGUUAAGCGUCUGACUUUGGCUCACCUCAUGAUCUGAUGGUCGUGAGUUCGAGUCCUGCUUUGGGUGAACAUGAGUCCCGCUCUGGGUGAGCCCCACCUCUCUCUCCCUCUUGCUCUCUUUCUCUCUCUGCCCCUUGUGAAAUUCUCUCUCUCUCUCUCCCUCUGUCUCUGUCUCUCUCUCUGCCCCUUGCUCACUUGCACCCUUUCUCUCUCUCUCUCUCUGUCUCUCUCUCUCUCUCUCUCUCUCAAAAAACCGAUUCAUUUGAAGUUUGAUUUGGUCUGGCUUCCGUUUUGUGACAUCAUUGACCCCCAAGAGAUUGCACCCACCCAGUAUUCAUGCCCUUGGAUAUUCCCCACCCCCAACUUUGCCUCUGGGGUUGGCCUGUGACUACAUGUGGCCAGUGGGAAACUCGCAAGUGUGAUGCACGCAGAAGCUUGAUAAGCAUUUACACACUGGGGCUUGUCCUCUUAUAAAGCUUGCUCUUAGAACCCAGCCACCAAGCUGUGAGAAAGUCCAAGUGGCCACCUGGAGAGUUUUAGUUGGAAGACAACAAAGCCCCCGGCCAACAGUUAGCCCCAACUUGCCGGCUCUGUGAAUGGGGCCACCGUAGAAAUGGAUCCUCCAACCCCCGGUGGAGCCCCCCCAGCUGAUUCCACACGGAACAGAGAUGAGCUUUCCCCAUCAAGCCCUGGCCAAAUUGCAGAUGUGUGAGUCAGUGAAUGGUGGUGGUUGUUUUGAGCCAUUAAGUUUUGGGGUACUUUGUUACGUAUGCGUAAAAUGGUACCUAAGCUAUUUUUUGUAUGGAUUGUAUCUCGUUGUGUAUCAACCCCUAAAUUUAAGUUGGCAUAAAGAUCGUAACUGUUUCGUAGUUCAGGAACUCUGUGUUGAGGGAGGGUCCGAGACUGCAUCCUGGUUUAGCAGAAAGGUAUGCAAGUCCCUUAUUCUAUUGAUUCUCCACCCACCAGCCCGCGUGAUCUUUUAAAAAU